UAGAGAGAGUUCAAGAGUACGUGAAACUGCUUAGAGGUUAAGCCCGAUGAACCUGAAUAUCCAUUAUGGAAAAUUCAACAUUAAUAUUAUAAUAUUUAUUUAUAAAUAUUAUAAAAAUAGUGUGCAAUUUUUCCAUAUAAGGACAUUGUAAUCUGUUAAUGUUAUAAAUAUUUAUCAUAAGAUUCAGUAUAUAAAAGUUUAUUCAAAUUAGUUAUUUUCCGAUUUCUAACAUAGAAUAAAUUUAAUUGAAUUUGAUAAAUCAUUGACAGAUUUAUUUAUAUAUAGUGCUUAAAUUCUUAAUUGAAUUUUACAAUAAUUUAUAAAUGUAUUUUCAUUUAUUUAUUUAUUGUAUGCACUUAUAUGAUUAACAAUGCUAUAGAUUCAGGAUACCUUCGGGACCCGUCUUGAAACACGGACCAAA
RNAcentral lists this ribosomal RNA (421 nucleotides) under Merodon obscuritarsis. Its description in RNAcentral is "eukaryotic LSU rRNA". The record is from RNAcentral. Lineage: Eukaryota; Metazoa; Arthropoda; Insecta; Diptera; Syrphidae.